CCCUUAGAUGUCCUGGGCUGCACGCGCGCUACACUGAUGUGUCCAGUAAGCACCUAACCUCUUCCGAAAGGAACGGGUAACCUUUGCAAAGCACAUCGUGAUGGGGAUAGAUUAUUGCAAUUAUUAGUCUUGAACGAGGAAUUCCUAGUAAGCGCCAGUCAGCAGCUUGCGCUGAUUACGUCCCUGCCCUUUGUACACACCGCCCGUCGCUCCUACCGAUGGGUGAUCCGGUGAAUGAUUCGGACUUCAGCGGCUCCCCUGGGGUGCGCCGGAGAAAGUUUUGUGAACCUUAUCACUUGGAGGAAGGAGAAGUCGUAACA
Molecule: ribosomal RNA, 320 nt
Filed under: uncultured eukaryote
Lineage: Eukaryota
Description: partial 18S ribosomal RNA
Rfam family: Eukaryotic small subunit ribosomal RNA
Source: RNAcentral